This 641-nucleotide ribosomal RNA is filed under the name Formica fusca complex sp. MAS-2009. RNAcentral describes it as "partial 28S ribosomal RNA". It matches the Rfam family "Eukaryotic large subunit ribosomal RNA", at positions 277 to 651 of the family's 3401-position model. The record is from RNAcentral. Lineage: Eukaryota; Metazoa; Arthropoda; Insecta; Hymenoptera; Formicidae.
AGAGUGCAGCUNUAAGNGGGNGGUAGAUUNCNUNUAAGGCAAAAUACGCCCCNNAGNCNGAUAGNGAACAAGUACCNGNGGGAAAGUNGAAAAGAACUUGAAGAGAGAGNNCAAGNGUACGUGAANCCGUUCAGGGGUAANCCUAAGAAACCCAAAGGUCGAACGGGGAGAUUCAUCGUCWGCGGCGCUGGCUUCGCGUCGGUGGGCGAUGUCCCGCAGAAUUCUCGCGGCUCUCGCACGGGCACGCUACCGUGCGUCGAUGUACGGCGCUCGUUGUCGUGCACUUUUCCCCAAGUAGAACGUCGCGACCCGCUGGGUGUCGGUCUACGGGCCGGGGUGCGGUGACCGUCGCGUCGCCGUAAAACGGCACGCGACAAACCCCCGGUCGCCCAGCCGGCUGCUCGGCGGUACGCGCAAGGUAUCAGGCCGCACUGUUUACGAUGCGUCGAGGCCGUCGCAAGCGCGCGCCACGGUACUCGGAGGUUACNGACUUUGCGCCGUACCCGGUCCUGGUCCGCUGUUGGUUAAAGUACGGNNCAUCUUNNACAGGCCUGUCGAACGUCCCUCUCCCUCCCUUGUGGGUCGCGUGNGGGAUCGAAACNNNNCGGCGACGCUACUGCNUUGGGUACUCUUANGACCCG